This is a ribosomal RNA of Bison bison bison, 114 nucleotides long. The record is from Ensembl. NCBI's taxonomy places the organism in Eukaryota, Metazoa, Chordata, Mammalia, Artiodactyla, Bovidae.
GUCUACGGCCACACCACCCUGAACGUGCACAGUCGCGUCUGAUCUCAGAAGCUAAGCAGGGUCGGGCCUGGAUAGUACUUGAGACUUCCUGGGAACACUGGGGUGCUGUAGGCU